UCCGGAGCUAAACUCCCAACCCCAAUGUGAACGUUACCAAUCUGUUGCCUCGGCGGGAUUCUCUUGCCCCGGGCGCGUCGCAGCCCCGGAUCCCAUGGCGCCCGCCGGAGGACCAACUCCAAACUCUUUUUUCUCUCCGUCGCGGCUCCCGUCGCGGCUCUGUUUCAUUUUUGCUCUGAGCCUUUCUCGGCGACCCUAGCGGGCGUCUCGAAAAUGAAUCAAAACUUUCAACAACGGAUCUCUUGGUUCUGGCAUCGAUGAAGAACGCAGCGAAAUGCGAUAAGUAAUGUGAAUUGCAGAAUUCAGUGAAUCAUCGAAUCUUUGAACGCACAUUGCGCCCGCCAGUAUUCUGGCGGGCAUGCCUGUCCGAGCGUCAUUUCAACCCUCGAACCCCUCCGGGGGGUCGGCGUUGGGGAUCGGCCCCUCACCGGGCCGCCCCCGAAAUACAGUGGCGGUCUCGCCGCAGCCUCUCCUGCGCAGUAGUUUGCACACUCGCACCGGGAGCGCGGCGCGGCCACAGCCGUAAAACACCCCAAACUUCUGAAAUGUUGACCUCGGAUCAGGUAGGAAUACCCGCUGAACUUAAGCAUAUCAAUAAGGGGGAGGAA
This 608-nucleotide ribosomal RNA is filed under the name Trichoderma longibrachiatum. Its description in RNAcentral is "eukaryotic LSU rRNA". The stretch from base 223 to 376 matches the Rfam family "5.8S ribosomal RNA". The record is from RNAcentral. Lineage: Eukaryota; Fungi; Ascomycota; Sordariomycetes; Hypocreales; Hypocreaceae.